This 30-nucleotide non-coding RNA is filed under the name Mus musculus (house mouse). The record is from RNAcentral. Lineage: Eukaryota; Metazoa; Chordata; Mammalia; Rodentia; Muridae.
UAGUUAAUGCUGUGGACUAAAGGGGUAUCU